RNAcentral lists this ribosomal RNA (253 nucleotides) under uncultured bacterium. Its description in RNAcentral is "partial 16S ribosomal RNA". It matches the Rfam family "Bacterial small subunit ribosomal RNA", at positions 524 to 776 of the family's 1533-position model. The record is from RNAcentral.
UACGUAGGGGGCUAGCGUUGUCCGGAUGUAUUGGGCGUAAAGAGCGUGUAGGCGGCCAGGUAGGUCUGCUGUGAAAACUCGAGGCUCAACCUCGAGAUGUCGGCGGAAACCAUCUGGCUAGAGUCCGGAAGAGGAGAGUGGAAUUCCUGGUGUAGCGGUGAAAUGCGCAGAUAUCAGGAAGAACACCCGUGGCGAAGGCGGCUCUCUGGGACGGUACUGACGCUGAGACGCGAAAGCGUGGGGAGCGAACAGG